RNAcentral lists this ribosomal RNA (253 nucleotides) under uncultured bacterium. Its description in RNAcentral is "partial 16S ribosomal RNA". It matches the Rfam family "Bacterial small subunit ribosomal RNA", at positions 524 to 776 of the family's 1533-position model. The record is from RNAcentral.
UACGUAGGGUGCAAGCGUUGUCCGGAAUUAUUGGGCGUAAAGAGCUCGUAGGCGGUUUGUCGCGUCUGCUGUGAAAGUCAAAGGCUCAACCUUUGAAUGUCAGCGGAUACUGCCGGGCUAGAGUCCGGAAGAGGCGAGUGGAACUCCUGGUGUAGCGGUGGAAUGCGCAGAUAUCAGGAAGAACACCAACGGCGAAGGCAGCUCGCUGGGACGGAACUGACGCUGAGGCGCGAAAGCGUGGGGAGCGAACAGG